This is an RNA transcript of Helianthus annuus (common sunflower), 5164 nucleotides long. It is a transcript of the gene named protein GFS12, with no coding region annotated. Lineage: Eukaryota; Viridiplantae; Streptophyta; Magnoliopsida; Asterales; Asteraceae. The record is from RefSeq and is a predicted model, not a curated record. The transcript is spliced from 16 exons.
CAUUUUUCCAACUUUAGCCAAGCUUUCAUGGAGAGAAAUCCCAUCAUACACACAAUCAAUCCAUCUCUGUUUCUUAGCCAUGUAAACAUCCAUUGAAAUCACUUCACCAUGUUUCCCCCAAAUCAAAAUCCCCAAUGAACAACAACCUCACAACAAUCACCAAUGGAAGCUCAAUUCUGCUUCGACUGUCUUCACUGUCAAAUCCGAACCGAUUUCUCCCACAAACUCUCUUUCAAUUACGCCCUCGCCGCCUCCGCCCUCCCCUUCGCCUCCGACGCCGUCGUUCAGGUUUUGAAUUCUAAUGGAGAGAUUUCACCUCAGUUUAUAUUAAUGUAUUUGCCUAUUGAUGAAGCUAGUUGUUUCACCAAGUACAUCAACGAGCAUUUUCCAGAAGAUGUUGAACCUAAUCCAUCAGAAAUUAAUCCAAACGAGCAUCAAAUCUUGGUUAGUGAUGCUGGAAGGACAUCAUUACCUGGAUUGGGGUGCAACAGAUCAACCUGUUACUUUUCUAAACGGUUUUCUUGCUUGAGGACACUAACAUCAUUGGCCCCACUUUCUCAAAUCGGGCCUGUAUCAUUUCCCGCUUUUAACGAGCUGGCUUCAAGUUUCUUAUCGGGAGUUACAGAAGAUCACGUGUUGCACUCGCUUAAUCUUCUGAUACAAAGAAAAGCAACCGGACGAGAUACCAUAAACUUUCUUAACUUAAUCGGGGUACCGUCAUUUACCGAAACUAGCUUUCCUGGUUGCAUAAGACAUCCAAACAUAGUACCGAUCUUGGGCAUGAUGAAAUCACCCACCCAUAUUAAUGUAAUAUUACCAAAAACUCCUUAUACAUUGGAAAACAUUCUUCAUUACAGCCCCGAUGCCUUAAAGUCAAAUUGGCAUAUUAAGUUUUUAAUGUAUCAAAUACUCUCUCCCUUGCGAUACAUGCAUGGGUUAGGAAUCGCUCAUGGUAAUUUAUCUCCGUCGAAUGUAUUUCUCACUGAUUCGUUCUGGUGUUGGCUGAAUAUCGGUGAUACGCUAACGCUACAAUCAAACUCCAAGUCGGAUACAAAAAUUGCUUGUUGUACCGAGGGUUGUCACUCAAAUGAAAUAUAUGCUGAUUUGAAGCUAUCUUGUUCUUCAGAUUGGCAUAGUGUGUUUAUCCGCUGGUGGAGUGGAGAGUUGACUAACUUUGACUAUCUAUUAUUCUUAAACAAAAUCGCUGGUAGGAGAUGGGGAGAUCACACUUUUCACACUGUUAUGCCAUGGGUUAUCGAUUUUAGCGUAAAACCAGAUGAAAAUAAUGAAACCGGGUGGCGAAAUUUGAGUAAAAGUAAAUGGCGGUUGGCAAAAGGCGAUGAACAGUUGGAUUUUACGUACUUAACAUCGGAAAUCCCGCAUCAUAUUUCAGAUGAAUGUCUGUCGGAACUAGCUGUUUGCAGUUACAAAGCAAGACGAUUACCGUUAAGUGUUCUUCGUUCCGCUGUCCGGUCGGUUUACGAACCAAACGAGUAUCCUUCCACAAUGCAUAGACUUUACCAGUGGACCCCAGAUGAAUGCAUCCCCGAAUUUUAUUACGAUCCAACAAUAUUCCAGUCGCAGCAUUCCGGGAUGUCGGAUUUAGCAGUACCUUCAUGGGCAAGUAACCCUGAAGAGUUUAUUAAAUUGCAUAGAGACGCUUUGGAAAGUUAUCGCGUAUCAUGUCAGAUUCAUCAUUGGAUAGAUAUCAUAUUCGGUUACAAAAUGUCCGGGGAAGCAGCCGUUGCUGCAAAAAACGUCAUGUUGCCCCCUUCAGAACCGACAAACGCCAGAUCAGCAGGGCGGCGCCAGCUCUUUAGUCUACCCCAUCCUGCUCGUUGGGGCGUUAUAAAGAAGUCUAGUCAGCAUAACCCUGAUUCAGUUACCGGUGAGACACAUGUGCUUCAUGAAACGUCUAAUUUAAAAGCACUUGAAAAGGCAGCUACGUUCAUUGAACAUGCUUCCCACUUGAGUCCUUCAUAUAGCACCAGUUUAGACGAAUCAUUACGUCAGGAAGACAUUACAUCCGAAACCUUUGAAUAUGGCAAAGACGCAAACUUGCCGUUAGUAGUUGAUAUAAAUUUUCUUCUUCAGAAUAUCGAAGCAGACGAUUGUAGUACUUCAGGGUAUCAAGAUUUUCUUCUAUGGAGACAGAAACUGUCUUCGUCGACAAAUCUUUCCGCACAAAUCGCAAACGAUGUGUUUUCAAUCGGUUGCAUACUAGCGGAACUUCAUUUGCGGAGACCGCUUUUCAAUCCUGCGUCGUUAGCACAGUACUUACAUAGUGGCGUUCUGCCGAAAUUGAUGCAUGAACUGCCACCUCAAGUUAAUAUUCUUGUCGAAGUAUGCAUUCAGAAGGAUUGGAAGAGGAGACCUUCUAUCAAGUCUCUCUUGGAAUCUCCCUACUUUCCUGCAACAGUGAGGUCAUCAUACCUGUUUCUAGCGCCGCUUCAGCUUUUAUCGAAAGACGAAUCUCGGAUCCAUUAUGUUUCAAGUUAUGCGAAAUCUGGAGCUUUGAAAUUAAUGGGAAAUUUUGCAGCUGAAAUGUGUGCACCCCACUGUUUGCCGCUUUUACUCACACCUCUAUCCGACACUGAAGCAGAAUGCGCAUAUAUAAUACUCAAAGAGUUCUUGAAGUGUCUGAAUCUGCAAGCUGUGAAGACGCUUAUCUUGCCUGUGAUCCAGAAAAUUCUGCAGACAACUGGUUAUUCACAUAUGAAGGUUUCUCUUCUUCAAGACUCGUUUGUACGCGAGUUGUGGAGCAAAGUCGGUAAACAAGUAUAUUUAGAGAAUAUGCAUUCUAUGGUUCUAUCAAAUCUGUAUGUUUCUCCUCAUAAGAGUUCAUCGGGAGCUGCGUCUGUGCUUUUAAUUGGCUCAACGGAUGAGCUCGGUGUACCGCUUACAGUUCAUCAGACAAUAUUACCUCUGAUUCAAUGUUUCGGGAAGGGGCUUUGCAGUGAUGGAGUUGACGUCAUUGUUAGAAUUGGUGGUCUUUUGGGAGAGACUUUUAUAGUGAAACAGAUUCUUCCAUUACUGAAAAACGUUGUACGGUCUUGCAUCGAUGCCUCCAAUGUGAGUAGGCCUGAACCUAUGCAGAGUUGGAGUGCGUUGGCUCUUAUGGAUUGUCUAAUGACGUUAGACGGGAUAGUGGAAUUAUUGUCGAAUGAGGUGAUCGUCAAAGAGCUAAUAGAGGAUGGAGGUUGCCUUUAUAUUCAGCUUCUCAUGGCAUCCAAAUUGGGAAUGCCAUCACUACAGGUUGGUGCUACAAGUCUUGUUGCAGUUUCGCAGCAGAUUGGACCAGAAUUAACGACAUCAUACGUCAUGCCUAAACUCAAAGAACUCUUUGAAAAACUCGCCUUCUCUGAAGAAACUCGUGCUGGUCCAAGCCAGAAAGUUUCUAAAAAUAAAGUCGAGAACGAACAAAUGGAAAACCGGAUGGAUCUUGUGUUGCUAUUAUAUCCACCUUUUGCAUCUCUUCUUGGAAUCGAGACACUUCGUCAGUGUUGUACCACAUGGUUGAUUCUCGAACAGUAUCUUUUAUGGAAUCAUAAUUGGAAGUGGGAGAAAACAGAAGAAUCUUCUCGUGGGGGUGCGGACAAUAUAAACGCAAGAAAAACAAGUUACAACAAGAAUCCAACGUCUGAAUAUAAUUCUGCUAAAGUUUUCCUUCACGGGUUUGGAUGGUCCGUACCACAAUCACAAGUAGAUAAAGGCAUAAAAAAUUCAACACCGCAUAAGCGACACCAUCACGUGACAUCAUCCUCAAUGUCUAGAGAGCAGGAACCUUGGCAUUGGUUCCCUAGUCCUGCAACUAGCUGGGAUGGGCCUGAUUUUAUGGGCCGGGUCGGGGCUUCAAGUAACGAAAUUCCAUGGAAAAUCAGUGCGUCUGUAAUUCACUCGGUCCGGGCCCAUUACGGAGCUCUUAGAUCUUUUGCGGUUUGCCAAGAUGAAUGCACUUUUUUUACAGCUGGAGUUGGUCCGGGAUUUAAGGGAUCCGUCCAGAAAUGGGAUUUAUCGAGAAUCGUUUCUUCAUCUGCAUAUGAUGGCCAUGAAGAGGUUGUGAAUGACAUAUGUGUCAUAGGCUCCUAUGAACGAACAGCUUCUUGUGAUGGUACCAUUCAUUUAUGGAAUAGUCAAUCGGGAAAAAAGAUAUCUGUAAUUGCUGAAAAUUCUGCACAAUAUGGUAACUCCAUGACGUCAGCAUCCAAGAUACAUUCUGAUCAAGCCAAUAUGCUCGAUUUUAGCUCACUCGGUAGUGGGAUUUUGAGUAGCGCGUAUGAUGGAAGUAUGUAUACUUGUAUGCAUCACCUGGAAACAGUAAAUAGGCUCGUAGCAGGUACCGGAAAUGGUUCCCUCAGGUCAAAAACUUCAGAUUCAUUGACAUCGAAGAAGGUCAAAAACUUCAUUUGUGGAGAAGCGACUCUUCGGAAUCGAGUUUUCCUUCUUUAAUCUCAUCCAUAUGCUCAUGUGGUUCGACCAAGAUGCAAGCUAAUGGAGCUGCCACCUCACCAUCGUGGAUUGCGGCUGGACUAAGUUCGGGUCACUGUAGGUUGCUUGACAUGAGGAGCGGCGAUUUAAUUACCUCGUGGCAAGCUCAUGAUGGAUAUGUGACAAAGUUAGCUGCUCCGGAGGACCACUUGCUUGUUUCUAGCGCGCUUGACAAGACUUUGCGAGUUUGGGACCUCAGAAAGAAUUUGGCAUCACCGUUGAUCCUAUUCAGAGGUCACAGUGAUGGUGUAUCUGGUUUUUCUGUGUGGGGACAGGAUGUUAUUUCGAUAUCUAGAAGUAAGAUCGGACUUUCUUCCUUAUCUCAACAGGAUGGGCAACAUCGGAUCACACCGCAAUAUCUCUACAUGGCAGAUCGUGAAUCGAGGAAUAUGUCCGUGUUAUCUACUAUAACAAUUCUUCCGUUUUCGCGACUUUUUCUAGUCGGAACGGAAGAUGGUUAUUUAAAAGUGUGUUGUUAGAUUCUUGUUACCAUGAUUGAGUAACCAAGGGGAUAUUCAUAACAGCAAGUAAAAUUGUUUUUAAAGGCUAUGUAAUAGAUUUUAUACAAUUGGGUUGGUUUUUUUUGUGAUACCAUCCUUUUAGAAUGUUAAAAAUAGGCUUGUAAAUGAGUCGAGUCAUCUGAGAUUAGUCCAUUAAAAGCUUGAUUUUAGCUUCA